Neofelis nebulosa (Clouded leopard) is the source of this 3362-nucleotide long non-coding RNA. RefSeq lists it as uncharacterized. The record is from RefSeq and is a predicted model, not a curated record. The transcript is spliced from 2 exons. Lineage: Eukaryota; Metazoa; Chordata; Mammalia; Carnivora; Felidae.
CACCAGGGUGGCUCAGUCAGCUGAGCAUCUGACCCUUGAUUUCGGCUCAGGUCACAAUCUUACGGUUUGUGGGUUCAAGGCCCACAUUGGGCUCUGUGCUGAUGGUGUGGAGCCUGCUUGGGAUUCUCUCUCUCUCUCUCUCUCUCUGCCCCUCCCACUCUCUCUCUCUCUCCAAAUAAAUAAAUAAACAUUAAAAAAAGAAAAAGAAAAAGCCAAGGGAAAUUUUUCUGACAGCAGAAACAGCUGAAGACAACUUUGCUAUGACUUAGCUUCUGGCUGCCAUCUAAUGGCACAAAUAUAGAUAUGGAUGUGUAUGUGUAUAUACAUACCCCUCACUCCCCCCAACACACACACACACACACACACCAUUUCUACUGCUGUAAGCUUGUGUCUGGGUUUCAAUUCUUCACUUUUGCUGGUUAGGAUGUUAAUACUGGAAGGGAUAUUAGAGAUUAUAUAGUCUAUCCUUUUCAUUCUACUGCAAGGAAAUUGAGCAAAACGUAUAUAUAUCCCUGUUUGAACAUCUCUUUAUCUCAUCUCAUUUUUGAGAGGUAAAAAAAAAAAAUGGAAAUGUUGCUCUAUUUUUAGAAAUGAAAUGGAGGCACUGGGGGAAGUGGCUUUGCCACUUUUAAAAAGCUAGAUUGAAAUGAUCUCUUUCCUUGAAUCCGGGCCCUUUGACAUCCAUCCCAGAACUGAUCCUAGUGUUGUGUUUCCAAGUGUUAACCCUUAAAAUGGAAUUAGAAGCUGUAAAUAUCAUUGAUAUGUGAGUAGGGAAACUGUUCUGAAAUUAUCUCCUUUUUACACAUAAGGCCUAAAUUUUAAUUCUGAUACCACAACUUCCAUUCAGUGGCUGUAAAUUGUGAAUGUUCAAGUCUGAAAUUCAGUAGUAAAAUGUUUAAAGCUGGGUUCAGCAACUAUAUUCUAUUCUGUAUAAGAAAUAAGAUUUUAUUUACAGGGCAUACAUAGCUGGGAACCUUAUAUAUAGAAUUACAGGAAAAAUUUUCAUAAUUCGAUAUAUAUUUUUUCAAACUUUGUAUACUCAUAUCGACAAAUGGCUCUCCUCCUCUUUCUCUAAUGUUCUCUGCCUGUUCUCCUUGACCCUCUGUAGGUUCUAAGCUAAUCUCAAGUUCCCAAGUACGCUCAAUGUUUUUCUACCUUCUAUUUUUCUGAAUGCUCUUUCCUUCUCUUUGAAUGCCCUUUCUUUGAGGCUGAGCUUAAAUUUUAUCAUCUUCAUUAAAAAAAAAAAAACUUUCUAGAGAGAGAGAGUGCAAGCAGGGAAGAGGGCAGAAAGAGAGAGAGACAGAAAGCGAGAGAGAAGGAAUCUGAUUUGGGGCUUGAUCCCACGACCCUAAGAUCAUGACCUGAGCCAAAGUCAAGAGUCUGAUGCUUAACUGACUGAGCCACCCAGGUGCCCCUUAUCAUCUUCAUUUCUAAUGAAAUCUUUCUUAAUAGCCUGUGACAAGAAAUCUUGUUUCCUUGGUUUGCCAUCAAGUACCAGAAGACAAGAAGCUUCAACUGGAAUUCAUUGUCUUCCAGAUCUGGAGGCUACAAACCCAAGAUCAAGCUGUCAGCAGGGUUGAUUCUUUCUGAGGGCUGUGAGGAAGAAUCUGUUCCAUGCCUUUCUCCUGGCCCUGAUGGCAUCCUGGCAAGCUUUGGUGUUUCUUGGGAAGUAGAAGCAUCAUCCCCAAUCUCUGUCUUUAUCUUCUCAUGGCCUUCUUCUUCCAUGCAUGUCUGUCUUCAAAUUUCCCCCUUUCUAAGGAUACUAGUCAUAUUGGAUAGAGUCCAGCUUACUCCAGUAGGACCUCGCCUUAACUAAUUACAUCUGCAAAGACCCUAUUUCUAAAUAAGGUGACACUCUUCGGUAUUAGGGUGUAGAAUUUCAACAUAUCAAUCUUGUUGGGGAUGGAGUUGGGGAGGAACCACAAUUCCAUCCGUAAAAUUUCUUCUUUUGAAUUUUUUUCACUGCCUGGUUUGUAUUUUGUUCAUGGAAUGUAUCGCAUUCUUUGUGGUUAUCUGUCUUGCCUCUCCUUCUAAAUUAUAAGGUCUUUGAAGGCUGGUUUAUUCUUUAUAUAACCUGUAGCGUCAAGCACGGAGGAUGCGGUGUUGCGUAGUUUUCACUCUAGCUACCUCUGGCACCCAGAGGUACCUCCAAGUGGCAAGAGGCAGAAUUUUAUUAAAAUGGAGGGAAAUCCAGACUUUUCUAGGUAAUUGCAUGUGGUUAAGUUUGUGUACAUUGUAGGAAUCAGGACAAAGUGAUUGGGAUUUGAAAGUCAGGCUGAGAACCACGUCUGUGUUAGUCCGUCUCCUGGAGUCAGCUAGGAGUGAGGAAUGGAUGGGAGUGGGGUGGGGAGUGAGAGAGAGCGAGAGACAGAGAGAGAGAGAGAGAGAGAGUGAGAAUGAAUGAAUGAAUGAAUGAAUGAGGAUGAACAAAUACAGCUAUCAGAAAGCCAGGGAAAAUUCUGAGUUAAUGACCGAAUAUGUGGCAUGAUGUCAGAACAUGAGAAAGAUGCCACAAAAGAUGUGAAUACAAGGGUUAGGAUUACAAGAACAUUCCAAAAGCUAACGCCAGUGUUCAGAGGACAGAGAUCCUGCAGGAGCUCAAGGGAGGAAGUAAGUAGAAGAGCAAGCACGAGGGUCCAGGAUAUAUGGCAAAGGCGCAAAAUACCUGUGCAAGGGUCUGGGCAACACAAAUACAGGUGUCCAAAGCAAGAAACUAAUUUGAUGAUGGACCAGGCUGUUGCCUUUUCCCAGGGAGCUCGCAUCACUGUGAAGGCCAGGAAUAGAUGCAUGAAUCCAGCCAAUCGAGGCCCCGGUUGGAGAGAGAAGGGGGCAGUUGUCUGGAGCAGGGGGUUAUGGACUCACACAGCCCCUGACAACCACUACAGACAGCCUCAGUGCCCAAGUGCGUGUCUCACAGGAGGCCAACCUUCAUUUGUGGUUCGUGGUCAACAAUACUGGACUAGUCAAUACUGAACAAUAGCCAAAAUACUGAACUAGACAACUAGAAAAAAAAAAGAACAAGUCAUUGUUCCUUCUCCCAAGAUCCUUACGGAUUUGUGGGGAAAUAAAACACAUUCGAGAAAAAGUCGACUACCAUCCGGGGCCUGCCUUUAGUUAGGAGCUGGGAGCCUGGAGGAGUGGAGAACAGGACAAGCAGGAAAGCAGCACACACACCUGGAAUGCCAGAACGUGACUUUAUCGCGUGGACCAGCGUUUCUAAAAAUGUGUUCCUCUGAGAUGUUCCAUGAAAACAAGAUUCCAAGAGCAAAUUUGUUUGGGAAACACUAGAUUCUGUGUACUCCUCUUGGGAAUUUACAGGGCAUGUGAACACAUUAGAGGCAUUAAAGUUCUUUAAAAAGCAA